GUCGCUUCUUGGCCUUUUGGCUAAGAUCAAGUGUAGUAUCUGUUCUUAUCAGUUUCAUGCUGGUGGGUAUGGGUGCUGCAUGGUAGGGGGCAGGUGUACCGGGGCGUUCCGGGGCUGGUUCUGAGGAAUCAGCUCGACGGCUGCCCUGAUGUGACCCGUUUCCUCCGGGUCUCGUCAUGAGGCUGAGAGGGUCUAAA
This is a small nuclear RNA of Hyla sarda, 197 nucleotides long. RefSeq annotates it as U2 spliceosomal RNA. The record is from RefSeq and is a predicted model, not a curated record. The transcript has a single exon. Lineage: Eukaryota; Metazoa; Chordata; Amphibia; Anura; Hylidae.